Molecule: long non-coding RNA, 1924 nt
Organism: Oncorhynchus tshawytscha (Chinook salmon)
Lineage: Eukaryota; Metazoa; Chordata; Actinopteri; Salmoniformes; Salmonidae
Exons: 4
Source: RefSeq, a predicted model, not a curated record
ACCUCCGUUUUCAUUUGCGUCAUAGGUUUGUGUACUCUCGUUCACUUGAGGGCCAACUGGCCUCAAUACAGAUAACUGAAAACACACUACAGAAAUCAGCGAGAACAUAUGGAGAAAAAAAAUUGUCUUCUAGUUCAUGAUGCGAGGACGUCAUUUCAUCUUUUUGCUACUCGCAAGCGUGAAUAAUCUAAACCAUAGGAUAUCUUAAAAUGAAGGUAUAAUGUGAGAGAUCAACCGGCCUAGUUAUUUACUUAUCGCGUCGUGUCUUAUCAAGUUUAGUUUUCAAUUUCCAUUCGAUUUCAUAACAAUGUAAUAAUGUAUCUUUUGUGAAAAGGGAAAGCGGUUGGGUCAGACGAAUAGGUCAAAUUACCCUCUUAUUUGGGCCAACCUGCAAUCUGUUGGUCAAAUUAUUAAUUGUCUGUUUGACGGGGUGCUGCUUCAGUAUUUAAAUCCGUUAUACAUUCAUUCAUAGAGCUCCAAUGGUCCAAUCGUCCAUCACACUCAGGACAGUGCCUACCAACAGCGGUGAUAGUUUAAUCACUGACCCAUAACCAUUCGGGCUCAGUAGGCUAUUUGCUUGAAUGAUAUUACAAGCAUUAUGCGUCUGUCUCGUCCCCAUAUUACAGCGUAGAACCGUGGCGAUGUUUAACUAUAUCAUUAGACGAAGAAUCCAGCGAAACUGUUGGGAAAGACAACCGUUUGGAUAUAAUAAAAGUCGGCUAAGAAGAUAGGACGAAUUGAUAAAUCCUUCGGAUUUGCCUCAGAGUUCUACAAUGCCUCAUAAAAAGGCACCCCAGAUCAUGCUGGACUUGUUCAACGCAGUGGAACAGUGGAAUUUAGAGGGCAAUGUGGUGCGGAGCUUCGAGGACAGAGGUGCGUUAUCAACAAACGCAUACUUACGCACGGCUGAUGUUACUUUUGUGCCCAAGCAUGUUUGAAAUUAAUGAAGAAAAAAAAUACUUCAAUUAUCUUAAAGGGGAAAACUUGCAGACUUGUUAUUUUAACACAAUUCAUUAUAUUUAUUUUUAUGCAUGUUGGUGGAAGGUGUAAUUCCUUAAAUGUAUUCUCAUUUGGUAGAGAUUAGAGCAUGAUCUAUGUAUAAUUUCACUGGUUCAGGCAAAAACAACGACUUUUCCUUGGGAAGUCAUAUGGACCCCAUUUCUACAAGGUAGACCUCUAUGAGGUGUUAGACAGCAGAGCGAAACCUUGGAGAUGGAAUCUAAUCACGCCAAGACUGUUGCCUUUAUACACUCAGGGAUGGAAAGUCUUCAACGUCACACAAACGGUGUCCAAGUGGAUUUGCAGGAUUCGCAACAGCGAGGAGAAUAAUGGAAUUCAGGUUGGUAUUAAACUGCCAUCGGGUAAGUGGAUUGAGUCGGUCCUGCCGUCUUCUGAGAGACAGGGAGAAUCACCCGAGGAGAAUGCCUACCUACAGUGGUUAUAUUCUCAGCCGAUGGAAGAUGCUCGACCACUAAUCGAUCACCAAAUCAAGCCACGCCACAACACCUGACAGUCCGAAGGUAUCGUCUCAAGAAAGCAGGAGCAGGCGGAAAUGCGCAGCACCAAGUUAUCCCCGCAGCCGCCCCAUGUCAUGCCAGCGGAUCCUUGUGGACUUCGAGGUAAUCGGCUGGGCUGGCUGGAUCGUUUCUCCACGGGGUUACAAUGCUUACUACUGCAAGAGCUCCUGUCCGUUCCCACUCGGAAUGUUUCCGUGCCACGAAUCACUCGACUGUGCAGUCUGUCAUGCACGCUCUAAAGCUCUCCAAUGAGAAGGAAAACGUGGUUCUGAAACAGUAUGACGAUAUGGUUUCGUUUUGAACAGCUUUCAGAAAUCUUGGUUGAAUUGAAAAUAUUAACAGUAUGUCCAGUGAUUCAUGUAUAAAUGUGUUUUUGUAAGAAAUAAAAGUUGGUUGUUACAAUUGAA